GUGACCUCAAAUCAGGUAGGACUACCCGCUGAACUUAAGCAUAUCAAUAAGCGGAGGAAAAGAAACUAACAAGGAUUCCCCUAGUAACUGCGAGUGAAGCGGGAAAAGCUCAAAUUUAAAAUCUGUCAGUCUUUGGCUGUCCGAGUUGUAAUCUAGAGAAGUGUUAUCUGCGCUGGACCGUGUACAAGUCUCCUGGAAUGGAGCGUCAUAGAGGGUGAGAAUCCCGUCUCUGACACGGACUGCCAGGGCUUUGUGAUGCACUCUCAAAGAGUCGAGUUGUUUGGGAAUGCAGCUCAAAAUGGGUGGUAAAUUCCAUCUAAAGCUAAAUAUUGGCGAGAGACCGAUAGCGAACAAGUACCGUGAGGGAAAGAUGAAAAGAACUUUGGAAAGAGAGUUAAACAGUACGUGAAAUUGCUGAAAGGGAAACGCUUGAAGUCAGUCGCGUUGUCUAGGGAUCAACCUUGCUUUUGCUUGGUGUACUUUCUGGUUAACGGGUCAGCAUCAAUUUUGAUCAUUGGAAAAAGGUUAGGGGAAUGUGGCAUCUUUGGAUGUGUUAUAGCCCUUGAUUGUAUACAAUGGUUGGGAUUGAGGAACUCAGCAUGCCGCAAGGCCGGG
RNAcentral lists this ribosomal RNA (615 nucleotides) under Cortinarius barlowensis. Its description in RNAcentral is "eukaryotic LSU rRNA". It matches the Rfam family "Eukaryotic large subunit ribosomal RNA", at positions 1 to 615 of the family's 3401-position model. Lineage: Eukaryota; Fungi; Basidiomycota; Agaricomycetes; Agaricales; Cortinariaceae. The record is from RNAcentral.